UGUUACCGGAAGCUCCGCUGGGAAAUGACUUCCUGUCUCCUCCCCUCACAGCACAUGUAGGCUGAGGCGCCACAUGGCAGGAGCGCUUAAUGGAGGAGGAAUGGGAGAGCCGGCCUGCUGCUGCUGUUUCACUACUAGCCAUGGGACUGGCUACAGAGAUAUGUUCAGUGUCACCUUGGGCACAUUCAUAGGUCUGCCACAGGUCCUCCAGCCUCACAGGAAUAAAGACUGAGCAGAAAUGGGGCCCUGCUGACAGGCUACAGCUAAAGAAAAUGGCUGUGCAACCUUGUGUCUGCUUUAUCUGACUUGUACACCAUUCUCAGGCACAUGUUAAGAUGGAGGUGCUGUGACCUUUAUGUCAAGAUGCCCUCUUAAUGGGUAUCUCACUAGCCCUCUCACUAUCUCUUAGUACACCAUUCUUGGACAAAUUGAGAUGGAGGCGCAGUGACCUUCAUGUCAAGCUGCCCUGUUAACGGAAUGGGACAACUUACAAUCUGAUGGCAUUUUCUCACGUGCACUUUAUACCUAGGUUCGGUAUGAGGAGUCAGUGUGUUGAAAAGAUCAUAUGUUAAAACAAAUGCUUAUUAAAAAGAAACAAAUGUUGAA
Xenopus tropicalis (tropical clawed frog) is the source of this 606-nucleotide long non-coding RNA. RefSeq lists it as uncharacterized. The transcript is spliced from 9 exons. The record is from RefSeq and is a predicted model, not a curated record. NCBI's taxonomy places the organism in Eukaryota, Metazoa, Chordata, Amphibia, Anura, Pipidae.